RNAcentral lists this ribosomal RNA (253 nucleotides) under uncultured bacterium. Its description in RNAcentral is "partial 16S ribosomal RNA". It matches the Rfam family "Bacterial small subunit ribosomal RNA", at positions 524 to 776 of the family's 1533-position model. The record is from RNAcentral.
UACGUAGGCAGCAAGCGUUGUCCGGAUUUAUUGGGCGUAAAGAGCGUGUAGGCGGCCAUACAGGUCAGCUGUGAAAACUCGAGGCUCAACCUCGAGACGUCGGUUGAAACCGUAUGGCUAGAGUCCGGAAGAGGAGAGUGGGAUUCCCGGUGUAGCGGUGAAAUGCGCAGAUAUCGGGAAGAACACCCGUGGCGAAGGCGGCUCUCUGGGACGGUACUGACGCUGAGACGCGAAAGCGUGGGGAGCGAACAGG